Molecule: non-coding RNA, 417 nt
Organism: Sorex fumeus (smoky shrew)
Lineage: Eukaryota; Metazoa; Chordata; Mammalia; Eulipotyphla; Soricidae
Source: the annotation of a RefSeq genome assembly
CAGCGCUGGUUCCUCCUCUUUCUGGUGGCAGCUCCUGGAUGCGUCCUGUCCCAGAUCCAGCUGCAGGAGUCGGGACCAAGCCUGGUGACGCCCUCGCAGACGCUGUCCCUCACCUGCUCGGUCUCUGGAUUCUCUCUAACCAGCAAUGAUGUAAGCUGGGUCCGCCAGGCCCCUGGAAAGGGGCUGGAUUGGAUUGGUGCUAUAUGGGCUGGUGGAACCACAAAGUAUAAUCCAAGUCUUCAGUCCCGAGUCAGCAUCUCCAGGGACACCUCCAAGAACCAAGUUUACCUAAAACUGAGCAACUCGGUAACUGAGGACACCGCCGUGUAUUACUGUGCAAGAUACACAAAAGUUCUUGUGACCGAUUUUAAAGGUCCAAGACUGAGAGCAAUCCAGGACGCCUUUAGUAAUGAGUAA